UACGUAGGGAGCAAGCGUUGUCCGGAAUCAUUGGGCGUAAAGCGCGCGUAGGCGGCCCGAUAAGUCCGUUGUGAAAGUCAAAGGCUCAACCUUUGAAUGCCGAUGGAUACUGUCGGGCUAGAGUCCGGAAGAGGCGAGUGGAAUUCCUGGUGUAGCGGUGGAAUGCGCAGAUAUCAGGAGGAACACCAAUAGCGAAGGCAGCUCGCUGGGACGGUACUGACGCUAAGGCGCGAAAGCGUGGGGAGCGAACAGG
Molecule: ribosomal RNA, 253 nt
Filed under: uncultured bacterium
Lineage: Bacteria
Description: partial 16S ribosomal RNA
Rfam family: Bacterial small subunit ribosomal RNA
Source: RNAcentral